Cucurbita pepo subsp. pepo (vegetable marrow) is the source of this 510-nucleotide non-coding RNA. The record is from RefSeq and is a predicted model, not a curated record. NCBI's taxonomy places the organism in Eukaryota, Viridiplantae, Streptophyta, Magnoliopsida, Cucurbitales, Cucurbitaceae.
UAGACUUUGACCGUAUUCAUUGUUUCUUCUUCCUCUUUCUCCGUGACGCUCUUUCAGUACUCUGUACGAUCUGUGAAAUCUCUCAGCUCAGACACCGUCGUCCUUCUCUCUUUCGACGCUUCUUCAGGGGAUUUCCUUUUCCUUCUCCUUUCUGAGUUUUGAGUUUUCGUUGACGGAGUGAAUUUUUGGAGAUCUGUUUGUGGAUAAGGGUGGAACAGCAUGCGGUGGUGUUUGAGUCUAUCAGUUGAUGUUUUUCGCAAAGUCAUUUCGUUGAAUUUAUACUGUAAAGUUAUUCUGUAAUUUUUCUCCGAUCGAAGCGAUCGAUCUUCCUUUCUCCCUCUUCAUAUUCUUCAACAGUUAUCAUCCAUGGGAUCCAGUUUUUUCGUCGUCGUUCCAUGUUAUGUCCUCCAGAUUAGUUGAAAUUUUUUAUCUGUUUCUCUUGACCUUCGUUUUCUUUGAGAAAUUAGGUUUAGUUUUCCUACUUCCAUUUUCAGUCUUCUUUUAUUCAAG